This 247-nucleotide ribosomal RNA is filed under the name uncultured bacterium. Its description in RNAcentral is "partial 16S ribosomal RNA". It matches the Rfam family "Bacterial small subunit ribosomal RNA", at positions 86 to 334 of the family's 1533-position model. The record is from RNAcentral.
AGAUGGCGACCGGCGCACGGGUGAGUAACACGUAUCCAACCUGCCGAUAACUCGGGGAUAGCCUUUCGAAAGAAAGAUUAAUACCCGAUGGUAUAAUCAGACCGCAUGGUUUGAUUAUUAAAGAAUUUCGGUUAUCGAUGGGGAUGCGUUCCAUUAGGCAGUUGGUGAGGUAACGGCUCACCAAACCUUCGAUGGAUAGGGGUUCUGAGAGGAAGGUCCCCCACGUUGGAACUGAGACACGGUCCAA